CGAACGGGUGAGUAAUGCGUGACCAACCUGCCCCAUGCUCCAGAAUAGCUCUUGGAAACGGGUGGUAAUGCUGGAUGCUCCAACUUGACGCAUGUCUUGUUGGUAAAGUGUUUAGUGGCAUGGGAUGGGGUCGCGUCCUAUCAGCUUGUAGGCGGGGUAAUGGCCCACCUAGGCUUCGACGGGUAGCCGGCCUGAGAGGGCGGACGGCCACAUUGGGACUGAGAUACGGCCCAGACUCCUACGGGAGGCAGCAGUC
Molecule: ribosomal RNA, 256 nt
Filed under: uncultured Gardnerella sp.
Lineage: Bacteria; Bacillati; Actinomycetota; Actinomycetes; Bifidobacteriales; Bifidobacteriaceae
Description: partial 16S ribosomal RNA
Rfam family: Bacterial small subunit ribosomal RNA
Source: RNAcentral